RNAcentral lists this ribosomal RNA (433 nucleotides) under uncultured bacterium. Its description in RNAcentral is "partial 16S ribosomal RNA". It matches the Rfam family "Bacterial small subunit ribosomal RNA", at positions 29 to 507 of the family's 1533-position model. The record is from RNAcentral.
AACGAACGCUGGCGGCAUGCCUAACACAUGCAAGUCGAACGAUGCUUUCGGGCCUAGUGGCGCACGGGUGCGUAACGCGUGGGAAUCUGCCCUUGGGUUCGGAAUAACAGUGAGAAAUUGCUGCUAAUACCGGAUGAUGUCUUCGGACCAAAGAUUUAUCGCCCAGGGAUGAGCCCGCGUAGGAUUAGCUAGUUGGUGGGGUAAUGGCCUACCAAGGCGACGAUCCUUAGCUGGUCUGAGAGGAUGAUCAGCCACACUGGGACUGAGACACGGCCCAGACUCCUACGGGAGGCAGCAGUGGGGAAUAUUGGACAAUGGGCGCAAGCCUGAUCCAGCAAUGCCGCGUGAGUGAUGAAGGCCUUAGGGUUGUAAAGCUCUUUUACCCGGGAUGAUAAUGACAGUACCGGGAGAAUAAGCGCCGGCUAACUCCGUG